Molecule: ribosomal RNA, 245 nt
Filed under: Hyalomma marginatum
Lineage: Eukaryota; Metazoa; Arthropoda; Arachnida; Ixodida; Ixodidae
Description: partial large subunit ribosomal RNA
Source: RNAcentral
GUGGUAUUUUGACUAUACAAAGGUAUUGUAAUAAGAUUUUAAUUGAAUGCUAAAAGAAUGGAAAUUUAAAAAAAAACUUUUUUAAAAAUAAAAAUUGAAUUUUUUUUAAUUUGUGCAAAAACAAUUAUAUUUAUUAAAGACAAGAAGACCCUAAGAAUUUAAGAUUUUACAAUUAAAAAGUUUUUUUUUAAAAUCUUGAUUGGGGCGAUCAAAAAAUAUUAAUAACUUUUUAAAAUUUAAAUUGA